CAAACCAGGAGGUCAAAGGAAGCCUGUGGAGCUCAGAGACAGGAGUGUGUCGAGGCACAGAGCUGGGGAAGAAUACAAACCAAUGUCUGUUGCAUUAAAGAUUCCCAAGAACACCGUGGCCUCCAUCAUUCUGACAUGGGAGAAGUUCGGAACAACAAAGACACUUCUUAGAGCCGGUGGCCCGUCCAAACUGAACAAUCUGGGGAGAAGAGGUGACCAAGAACCCGAUGCCAGACUGAAGCCACUGCUCAGUGCAAAACACAUGACAACCUGCUCCAGAGCACUCUGGACCUCAGACUGGGCCGAUGUUUCACCCUCCAACAAGACGAGGAUCCUAAGCACACGGCCGAAACAACGCAGGAGUGGUUUAGGGAGAACUCUGUGAAUGUCCUUGAGUGGCCCAGCCAGAGCCCGGACUUGAACCCAAUCCAACAUCUCUGGAGAGAACUGAAAGUGGCCGUCCAUCGGCGAUCCCCAUCCAGCCUGACAGAGCUCGAGAGGAUCUGCAGAGAAGAAUGGGAGAAAAUCCCCAAAUCCAGAUGUGCAAAGCUUGUUGCAUCGUAGCCAAGAAGACUUGAGGCUGUUAAUGCUGCAAAAGAUGGUGAAUAAAGACACGGACUGCAGCAAAGCUGUUGGAGGCAAAUCAAAGAUGAAGAACAAGGAUGAAGGACUUUGACAGGCUGAUCUGCACUGUCCAAACUGAACUCUUCUAAUGAGCUGCGAGUGAGGUGAAGGCUUGUUGUGCAGGACGUCCUGGAGUCUCACGGUUCAUGACCGAGGCUUCACUCGUGCUGCUGAAGUCCAAGGUGCUGCUGAAGUCAAAGGUACCUGGCUCUUGGAGAUGCUGCCAACUUAACGACAGGUGCUUGUCCAGGGGAAGACCUGUUGGGGGUACCAACAGUCUGGAUGGAAACGUAAUGUUUAAAAGAAGUCUAGAGCCGGACUUGGUCCGUCUUGCUGCCUUCACUUGUUGAAUACAGGACGCCAUCAACAUCCAGCUGCCACCUUGGACUGCAACACGACUGCAUUUAAUUUGUUAAGAUGUCACUUUGGAUUUUCAAUUAAAGUUCAGUAAAUCUUUUAUGUGUAA
This is a long non-coding RNA of Cottoperca gobio, 1090 nucleotides long. RefSeq lists it as uncharacterized. The transcript has 10 exons. The record is from RefSeq and is a predicted model, not a curated record. NCBI's taxonomy places the organism in Eukaryota, Metazoa, Chordata, Actinopteri, Perciformes, Bovichtidae.